Molecule: non-coding RNA, 72 nt
Organism: Cucurbita moschata (crookneck pumpkin)
Lineage: Eukaryota; Viridiplantae; Streptophyta; Magnoliopsida; Cucurbitales; Cucurbitaceae
Source: the annotation of a RefSeq genome assembly
GCCAUUUUAACUUAGUGGUAGAGCGUGUGACUUUUAAUCACGUGAUCGUGGGUUUGAUCCCCAUAGAUGGUG